This is a long non-coding RNA of Brassica napus (rape), 540 nucleotides long. RefSeq lists it as uncharacterized. The record is from RefSeq and is a predicted model, not a curated record. The transcript has 2 exons. NCBI's taxonomy places the organism in Eukaryota, Viridiplantae, Streptophyta, Magnoliopsida, Brassicales, Brassicaceae.
CAUGUGGCUUAUGCCUCAUUUCAUUUGAACAGACGAUAAAUAUCUUAAAGAUGUCGUCUGGUGAUGCUUCCUUUACAGCUCCCUUCAAACUAUUGCACAACGCAAUGACUACAUCCACGCUCUUGUAGCCUAUUUCGAUGUAUCGUUUACCAUGUGCCACAAGCUUCUCGGUUUCUCAACAGGACCGAAGUCGUGGGCCACACACUGGAAACAAACAGUCAUGUACCUUGAAGAUGUCUUAACCAUAUGCGAGGGUGAGACAAUCACUGGAAGCAUGUCUGUUUCGUAUAACAAGAAGAAUCCUCGAGAUGUUGACAUAAAGCUAAGCUAUUCUUUGGAUGGUCAGCACUCCAAGAUCUCAAGGACUCAACACUACAAAAUGCGCUAAAUUUAUAAUUGAAACUAGGAAGAUACAAUUCUAAAUUUCUCAUAUUGUUGUGCUUUUAGUUUUUUUGUAUUUUUUUUCCUUUCAGUUUUGCAUCAUUCUCUUUGAUUCAUGAUUUUUUCUCUAAACCAUCACAUUAUAUGUUCCCUUUGUUA